RNAcentral lists this ribosomal RNA (468 nucleotides) under uncultured bacterium. RNAcentral describes it as "partial 16S ribosomal RNA". It matches the Rfam family "Bacterial small subunit ribosomal RNA", at positions 28 to 507 of the family's 1533-position model. The record is from RNAcentral.
GACGAACGCUGGCGGCGUGCUUAACACAUGCAAGUCGAACGGAAAGGCCCUGCUUUUGUGGGGUGCUCGAGUGGCGAACGGGUGAGUAACACGUGAGUAACCUGCCCUUGACUUUGGGAUAACUUCAGGAAACUGGGGCUAAUACCGGAUAGGAGCUACUGCUGCGUGGUGGGGGUUGGAAAGUUUCGGCGGUUGGGGCUGGACUCGCGGCUUAUCAGCUUGUUGGUGGGGUAGUGGCUUACCAAGGCUUUGACGGGUAGCCGGCCUGGGAGGUGGACCGGCCACAUUGGUACUAAGGUACGGCCCAGACUCCUACGGGAGGCAGCAGUGGGGAAUAUUGCGCAAUGGGCGGAAGCCUGUGGCAGCAGCGCCGCGUGCGGAAUGACGUCCUUCGGGUUGUAAACCGCUUUCGCCUUUGACGAAGCGUGAGUGACGGUAAUGGGUAAAGAAGCACCGGCUAACUACGUG